RNAcentral lists this ribosomal RNA (179 nucleotides) under Bacillus swezeyi. RNAcentral's name for it is "partial 16S ribosomal RNA". It matches the Rfam family "Bacterial small subunit ribosomal RNA", at positions 1 to 176 of the family's 1533-position model. Lineage: Bacteria; Bacillati; Bacillota; Bacilli; Caryophanales; Bacillaceae. The record is from RNAcentral.
UUCAUGGAGAGUUUGAUCCUGGCUCAGGACGAACGCUGGCGGCGUGCCUAAUACAUGCAAGUCGAGCGGACCGACGGGAGCUUGCUCCCUUAGGUCAGCGGCGGACGGGUGAGUAACACGUGGGUAACCUGCCUGUAAGACUGGGAUAACUCCGGGAAACCGGGGCUAAUACCGGAUGC